This 352-nucleotide ribosomal RNA is filed under the name uncultured Racocetra. RNAcentral describes it as "SSU rRNA". It matches the Rfam family "Eukaryotic small subunit ribosomal RNA", at positions 569 to 929 of the family's 1831-position model. The record is from RNAcentral. Lineage: Eukaryota; Fungi; Glomeromycota; Glomeromycetes; Diversisporales; Gigasporaceae.
AGCAGCCGCGGUAAUUCCAGCUCCAAUAGCGUAUAUUAAAGUUGUUGCAGUUAAAAAGCUCGUAGUUGAAUUUCGGGGUUCUACCGUUGGUCGGGCUUUGUCUGUACUGGCGUGUAGAAUUUCUACCUUCUGGGGAACCAUCAUGUUAUUAAUUUAACGUGGUGGGAAACCGGGACCUUUACCUUGAAAAAAUUAGAGUGUUCAAAGCAGGCUUAUGUCUGAAUACAUUAGCAUGGAAUAAUAGAAUAGGACGGUGGUCCUGUUUUGUUGGUUUCUGAAUCACCGUAAUGAUUAAUAGGGAUAGUUGGGGGCAUUAGUAUUCAAUUGUCAGAGGUGAAAUUCUUGGAUUUAU